ACCAAAACAAAUUAAACGUAUGAAAGAAUAAACUAACUUAAAGGAAAUACUAUGAAUGAAUGCUAUAAGGAAAACUAAUAAAUUCUUUGGCUUCUACUCGCCGUCUUCCUGCAGAACGGGCUCGGGAACCAAGUCCUCCUGAUCUGAAAUGGUUAAGUAAGGAAUGAACUACACUACCCCAGUAAAGACAUCACACUAUCUCACUGU
This 207-nucleotide long non-coding RNA is filed under the name Carica papaya (papaya). RNAcentral's name for it is "long non-coding RNA (CPAP_LNC001282)". Lineage: Eukaryota; Viridiplantae; Streptophyta; Magnoliopsida; Brassicales; Caricaceae. The record is from RNAcentral.